CAAAAGUUUACGAAUAUAUUCUGGACAUUUAACCUGUAUUCAUAUUUUUAACAACACUCGCUACAACGUCUCACAGUCAAAAAGACUAGAUGUAAUAAAUAUAAUACUCAUACAGCACUUGUCCAAAACCACAAUGUAUUGUAUUAUUGGUGAAGAUCUAUCUAAUCUCCACCAUUUUCAGUAUCCUCUUCUUCAGCUAUUUUCCUCUUCUUUUCUUCUUCCUCCAUAAGUUGAGUGAGUGCCUUCAUGGUACGUUUCUCAAGCUUGUCAAGUUUCUUUUGCACAUCCCGUCGCAGGUCCCAAUUUGGCUUCUUGGGGACAAUAUUUAGAAAUGGAUCCUCUUUCUUCUCUUCGGGAGGAGGUAGAGUCGCAAUAGGAUCUUCGAACUUUGGAAGUACUGGCGGAGUGACUUUGCCUUCUUGAAGCUGCUUGUCAUGUGGCAGGUAAUUGCGGAACUUCAUUUGGACAUCAUUUUCGUCUUCCUCUUCUUUAGUCUUGUUACCAUCAUCGUCAGGGGUUUGAAGAAGUUCUUGAGCUUCUCUGAGGGCUCUCAGCCUCUCCCUUCGCGCCGCUGCCGCCGCCUCAAUGGCGUUUUCCUCCUCCGUCGACAUUGACGAUAUAUUUUAAAACUAUUUCUCCAAUUCGAACUCAAAAUCACUAUGGAAAAUGCUCGCAGCUUCUGCAGAGAGUAUCAAAG
RNAcentral lists this unclassified non-coding RNA (697 nucleotides) under Hevea brasiliensis (rubber tree). The record is from RNAcentral. Lineage: Eukaryota; Viridiplantae; Streptophyta; Magnoliopsida; Malpighiales; Euphorbiaceae.